AAGAGUACAGCUACCCUUGUUGUAAUGCAACGCACUGUCGGGUGGCUUGGUCUUGAAUGGGUAAUUAAGACAUUUGAGUCUUAUAAAAGACCUGCUCCUGUUGGAAAUGCAAACUCCUAGAACUGAUUUGUUAAUGUGGAAUAACACAGCUGCCUACAUUUUCAUACUCUUCCUCAGGGCACAGCUGUGAAGACUGCUAUGAUAAGCGUUUGCAUAUACAAAUUUAUCAUAACACCUUCUGCUAAAGUGUCUUACACUCUACCCAUGAAAAAAGAGACUCGGGAACUAAAAUAAUGAAAAAAAAACCCCAAGGAAAGGCAGCCUGCAAAGAAGAGAUAAUUGUCUCUUUUAACCCAUCAGGAAACCAUUAAGAGGCAAAGCACUGAGCUUUGAAGAAAGCAACUGGGGAAAUGUUUGAAGAACUCAUUUGCAUUUAAGGAAAUGUUAUCCCACCAGAUGUGCAGUACAUACAAGAAGAAAAUUUGAAAGCCAUAACCUAGCCAAGCUGACUGGAGAAUUCUGGGAGAUGGAGCUCAAAAAAGUAAUUUUUCCAAGUUCUGCCCAUUACUGCAAGCGGAUUUGCAUACUGUUCUCCAGAGUUGCAAUCUUAAAAUGCCAAUCAGCUUGCCCUGGGUUCCUAAACUAGCCAGUCUUGAGGCAAAAAAAAAAAAUCAUUUGCCAAUCUGGUUCGCCUUUGCAAAUGCAUUUGCAAUAGUGUAUCUUGUCCUUUUCCUUGGACUGGCUUUUGUUUCCUAAACAAAGUGUUACUCUGUGAGCUAUAAAUCAGAAAAAUCAA
Molecule: long non-coding RNA, 796 nt
Organism: Anolis carolinensis (green anole)
Lineage: Eukaryota; Metazoa; Chordata; Lepidosauria; Squamata; Anolidae
Exons: 2
Source: RefSeq, a predicted model, not a curated record